Non-coding RNA from Geopyxis carbonaria, 82 nucleotides. NCBI's taxonomy places the organism in Eukaryota, Fungi, Ascomycota, Pezizomycetes, Pezizales, Tarzettaceae. The record is from the annotation of a GenBank genome assembly.
GGCAUUCUGGCCGAGUGGUCUAAGGCGCUAGCUUCAGGUGCUAGUAGAGAAAUCUGCGUGAGUUCGAAUCUCACGGAUGUCA